AACGCACAUUGCGCCUUCUGGUAUUCCGGUAGGCAUGUCUGUCUGAGCGUCAGCAAACACCCUCAGCUGAGUCCUUUUUUGGUACUCACGCUGGUCUUGGGCUCUGGAUGCUGGGUUAACCCCCGCGCCUGCCCUAAACUUGCUGCACGACCGCUGGCUUCGGCUGGGUCAAUGGAGUGGUGUUACAAUCUUCCAGAAGACCUCAACUGUAGCGCGGUGGCGUUAAACCUGCUGUCCGAAAGGACCGAAGUUUUGACCUCAGAUCAGAUAAGGAUACCCGCUGAACUUAA
Molecule: unclassified non-coding RNA, 290 nt
Filed under: uncultured Orbiliaceae
Lineage: Eukaryota; Fungi; Ascomycota; Orbiliomycetes; Orbiliales
Description: sequence contains ITS2
Rfam family: 5.8S ribosomal RNA (bases 1-52)
Source: RNAcentral